UACAGAGGCCACAAGCAUUAGUCGGGAUCACUGGGCUUAAAGGGUGCGUAGGUGGCUCACCAAGUGCUUUGUGAAAUCCCACGGCUCAACCGUGGAACAGCAGAGCAUACUGGUGGGCUUGAGGCAAGUAGGGGCUGACGGAACAGUAGGUGGAGCGGUGAAAUGCGUAGAUAUCUACUGGAACGCCGAUGGUGAAGACGGCCAGCUGGGCUUGUCCUGACACUGAGGCACGAAAGCGUGGGGAGCAAACAGG
RNAcentral lists this ribosomal RNA (253 nucleotides) under uncultured bacterium. Its description in RNAcentral is "partial 16S ribosomal RNA". It matches the Rfam family "Bacterial small subunit ribosomal RNA", at positions 524 to 776 of the family's 1533-position model. The record is from RNAcentral.